GUCUGCGUAGCUCAGUGGUAUGAGCAGAGGAUUGCAGAUCCUAAGGUCACCUGUUCGAUCCAGGUCGUAGACU
RNAcentral lists this transfer RNA (73 nucleotides) under Dactylellina haptotyla CBS 200.50. Its description in RNAcentral is "tRNA-Cys (GCA) (tRNA-Cys-GCA-1-1, tRNA-Cys-GCA-1-2)". It matches the Rfam family "tRNA". From Rfam's summary of the family: Transfer RNA (tRNA) molecules are approximately 80 nucleotides in length. Their secondary structure includes four short double-helical elements and three loops (D, anti-codon, and T loops). The record is from RNAcentral. Lineage: Eukaryota; Fungi; Ascomycota; Orbiliomycetes; Orbiliales; Orbiliaceae.